GCUUCCUUCAUGUAUUUAAAAGACAACUGCAUGGGGAAGUAGAGCAAAGGCAGCACAGAGGCCGCCACGCCCUGCCAGGCCUCCCCAGGCACUGCCAUGGGCAUCAAAUUUUUAUAAGUUAUCAAACCUUUUUGUGCAGUUCUACCAGAAAUUCAGAAACCUGAAAGGAAAAUCCAGUUUAGAGAGAAGGUAUUAUGGACUGCUAUAACUCUCUUCAUUUUCUUAGUGUGCUGUCAGAUACCACUAUUUGGAAUCAUGUCAUCAGAUUCUGCAGAUCCUUUCUACUGGAUGAGAGUUAUUCUUGCAUCCAACAGAGGAACUUUAAUGGAAUUGGAUAUCUCCCCAAUUGUCACAUCUGGUUUGAUUAUGCAGUUGUUAGCUGGAGCCAAAAUCACUGAAGUUAGAGAUAGACCCAAAGAUAGAGCUUUAUUCAAUGGAGCCCAGAAACUAUUUGGUAUGAUCAUUACCACUGGGCAAGCCAUUGUGUAUGUCAUGACGGGGAUGUACAGGGACCCUGCAGAAAUGGGUGCUGGGAUCUGUCUUCUUAUCAUUAUUCAGUUGUUUGUAGCUGGUUUGAUUAUGCUGCUGUUAGAUGAGCUGCUACAGAAGGAUUACGGCUUGGGGUCUGGUAUUUCCCUCUUUAUUGCCACCAACAUCUAGGAGACCAUUGUCUAGAAGGCCUUUAGUCCCACUACCAUUAACACUGGUAGAGGUACCGAAUUUGAGGUGGCAGUCAUAGCUCUGUUUCAUCUGUUAGCCACCAGGACAAAGUCUGAGCUUUAUGGGAGGCUUUUUAUCGGCAGAACGUACCCAAUCUCAUGAAACUCACUGCUACAGUUUUUGUGUUUGCUGUUAUUAUAUAUUUUCAGGGAUUUCGUUUUGACUUGCCCAUUAAGUCGGCCCGCUAUCGAGGACAGUACAGCAGCUAUCCCAUCAAGCUCUUCUACACCUCAAACAUUCCCAUUAUUCUCCAGUCUGCCUUAGUUUCCAACCUGUAUGUUAUUUCCCAGAUGCUAUCUGUUCAAUUUAGUGGCAACUUUUUAGCAAAUUUACUGAGACAGUGGGCCGAUGUCAGCGGGGGAGGACCUGCUCAUUCGUACCCAGUUGGAAGCCUGUGUUACUACCUUUCUCCUCCUGAGUCCAUGCGUGCCAUAUUUGAGGAUCCUGUCCAUGUAGUUGUUUAUGUCAUCUUCAUGUUGGGAUCAUGUGCAUUCUUUUCUAAGACAUGGCUAGAGGUGUCUGGUUCCUCAGUCAAAGAUGUAGCCAAAUAGCUUAAAGAACAGCAAAUGGUAAUGAGGGGUCACAGAGAUACCUCUAUGGUCAUGAGCUUAAUAGGUACAUCCCCACAGCAGCUGCAUUUGGCAGUUUGUGCAUUGGCGCCCUGUCAGUGUUAGCCGACUUCCUAGGGGCCAUUGGCUCUGGUACUGGAAUUCUGCUUGCAGUCACUAUUAUUUAUCAGUAUUUCGAAAUAUUUGUUAAGGAACAGGCCGAAGUUGGCGGGAUGGGUGCUUUGUUUUUCUAAACAUUCAAAUAUUUCUUUUUGUGCGUAUGAAAGGGAAAUAUUUUGACACUUUUUUUUCAAAUAAUGCUGGUGAUUCCCUUCCCCCCUCACAGUUUGUCUUCAAGUGCUGACUGUCCCACUUCUGAAAUGGGCACCGAGCUAAGCCUGUGUACAGCAUUAGUCCAGCUGCCUUAAAACUAAAGUUUACAUUAUUCAUUACAAAAUAUACAUCUAGUGUUGCCUGUAA
Molecule: non-coding RNA, 1748 nt
Organism: Microcebus murinus (gray mouse lemur)
Lineage: Eukaryota; Metazoa; Chordata; Mammalia; Primates; Cheirogaleidae
Source: RefSeq, a predicted model, not a curated record